GCUACUCAAUUAGUAGGCUCAAAUGCAAUAUAACAUAACUUUUCUGGUUUUAUUACCAAUCAGCUUCAGAAGGAGAGCCGACCACUUUAUCUAUAUCAGCCAAUAGUAUAGGAGUCAUAAAUUACCAAGUCCAGUGCCCAAUAGUACAAACGCAUAACAAGGCACACUUAUUUCAACAAGCUGCUGGCAUUAACGGAAUUAGGCUCAUCUAGCAACUUAAUAUAAGGGCAACAAUUCUUCAUUCUGAGCUUAGUACUAGAUGCGGGCAAGAAAUACCUUUUUUAUAGAUCUACAGAAGCUCCACAG
Molecule: long non-coding RNA, 306 nt
Filed under: Musa acuminata (dwarf banana)
Lineage: Eukaryota; Viridiplantae; Streptophyta; Magnoliopsida; Zingiberales; Musaceae
Description: long non-coding RNA (MACU_LNC008209)
Source: RNAcentral